RNAcentral lists this ribosomal RNA (386 nucleotides) under Escherichia coli. RNAcentral's name for it is "partial 23S ribosomal RNA". It matches the Rfam family "Bacterial large subunit ribosomal RNA", at positions 165 to 589 of the family's 2925-position model. RNAcentral also lists the same sequence under 1 other name. The record is from RNAcentral. Lineage: Bacteria; Pseudomonadati; Pseudomonadota; Gammaproteobacteria; Enterobacterales; Enterobacteriaceae.
CAUAGGUUAAUGAGGCGAACCGGGGGAACUGAAACAUCUAAGUACCCCGAGGAAAAGAAAUCAACCGAGAUUCCCCCAGUAGCGGCGAGCGAACGGGGAGCAGCCCAGAGCCUGAAUCAGUAUGUGUGUUAGUGGAAGCGUCUGGAAAGGCGCGCGAUACAGGGUGACAGCCCCGUACACAAAAAUGCACAUGCUGUGAGCUCGAUGAGUAGGGCGGGACACGUGGUAUCCUGUCUGAAUAUGGGGGGACCAUCCUCCAAGGCUAAAUACUCCUGACUGACCGAUAGUGAACCAGUACCGUGAGGGAAAGGCGAAAAGAACCCCGGCGAGGGGAGUGAAAAAGAACCUGAAACCGUGUACGUACAAGCAGUGGGAGCACGCUUAGG